Molecule: long non-coding RNA, 599 nt
Organism: Grammomys surdaster
Lineage: Eukaryota; Metazoa; Chordata; Mammalia; Rodentia; Muridae
Exons: 2
Source: RefSeq, a predicted model, not a curated record
CCUGCGUGAGGCACAUAUCGGCCCAGAGCUCUUAUAAUAAACCUGCCUCGUGCCAGUUUGCAGCAAGACAGUCUUUGGAGUAUUUUUGGGUCUGUGUCCCUUCAGGGUCUCCCUUGGGGGAGUCUUUCAGCCUCAAGGAAGAUACCAUAUAUAGGCCAUCAGCAAACACAAGUCAAAGAGAAGUGAAAUCAUUUGCCUGAAGUUACCAAGGCACAAAGAUCCCAUUGACAAAAACAAACAAACAAAAAACAAAAAACCACCAUCAAUAGUGGAGGGGCUGAUGGAAGAAAGGCAUUGGGAUGUGAAGAGACAGACAUGUCCUAUGAGCUACAUGGCACAUGUGCAGGAAACAAGAAAAGGAGUCCAGAGUCUAGAAAUGCCUGUGAGACUUGGCAUGGGGAGCAUGAACACUUGGAGCGCUGUUUCUCACAAGAUCUAAUUAUUCCCACAAGAAAAAAGAGAAAAAAGAAAGAAAGAAAAGACUUUGGACUUCUCUGGUUGUGUGUUUGUAAGAAUGGCCCAAGCUCUGCUGGAGGUUGAAUGCUUUGCUCUAACAAGGGCCUGAUAUAAGGGCUUGAUUAAACCAACAAAAGGCAAAA